This 204-nucleotide long non-coding RNA is filed under the name Mytilus galloprovincialis (Mediterranean mussel). Lineage: Eukaryota; Metazoa; Mollusca; Bivalvia; Mytilida; Mytilidae. The record is from RNAcentral.
AAUGAUAUUUUCCGAUUUACAGUUCAUGCUUUUAUUCGGUUUGAUUACUGUGCCGGAUUUCAGAGUUUUACUUUGUCCCACUUCGAGCAUUUCGCAUGUUCCACAUCUGGGAUCCCCGCAUUUUUGUAUUUCUGCUACCUUCUGUGUACUGAAUUUUGCGCGUGUGAGAAGUUUCUUCAGAUUUGGCGCUUGUCGACGGCUCCC